Molecule: ribosomal RNA, 429 nt
Filed under: uncultured archaeon
Lineage: Archaea
Description: bacterial SSU rRNA
Rfam family: Archaeal small subunit ribosomal RNA
Source: RNAcentral
AACCAGCACCUCAAGUGGUCAGGAUGAUUAUUGGGCCUAAAGCAUCCGUAGCCUGCUUUGUUAGUUUUCGGUUAAAUCUGUACGCUCAACGUACAGGCUGCCGGGAAUACUGCAAAGCUAGGGAGUGGGAGAGGUAGACGGUACUCUGUAGGAAGGGGUAAAAUCCUUUGAUCUAUUGAUGACCACCUGUGGCGAAGGCGGUCUACCAGAACACGUCCGACGGUGAGGGGUGAAAGCUGGGGGGAGCAAACCGGAUUAGAUACCCGGGUAGUCCCAGCCGUAAACCAUGCAAACUCAGUGAUGCAUUGGCUUGUGGCCAAUGCAGUGCUGCAGGGAAGCCGUUAAGUUUGCCGCCUGGGAAGUACGUACGCAAGUAUGAAACUUAAGGAAUUGGCGGGGGAGCACCACAAGGGGUGAAGCCUGCGGUUC